CGCGUAUGCAGGGGGACAACAGUCAGUAAAUGACUGCUAAUACCGCAUAAGCACACAAUGCUGCAUGGCAUGGUGUGAAAAGAUUUAUCGGCAUACGAUGGCCCCGCGUCUGAUUAGCCAGUUGGCAGGGUAACGGCCUACCAAAGCAACGAUCUGUAGCCGGCUUGAGAGAGUGACCGGCCACAUUGGGACUGAGACACGGCCCAGACUCCUACGGAAGGCAGCAG
RNAcentral lists this ribosomal RNA (227 nucleotides) under uncultured bacterium. RNAcentral describes it as "partial 16S ribosomal RNA". It matches the Rfam family "Bacterial small subunit ribosomal RNA", at positions 128 to 354 of the family's 1533-position model. The record is from RNAcentral.